This 465-nucleotide ribosomal RNA is filed under the name uncultured bacterium. Its description in RNAcentral is "bacterial SSU rRNA". It matches the Rfam family "Bacterial small subunit ribosomal RNA", at positions 43 to 507 of the family's 1533-position model. The record is from RNAcentral.
CAUGCCUUACACAUGCAAGUCGAACGGCAGCAGGAGCAAUCCUGGUGGCGAGUGGCGAACGGUGAGUAUAUAUCGGAACGUGCCCAGUCGUGGGGGAUAACGUAGCGAAAGCUACGCUAAUACCGCAUACGAUCUAUGGAUGAAAGCGGGGGAUCGCAAGACCUCGCGCGAUUGGGAGCGGCCGAUAUCAGAUUAGGUAGUUGGUGAGGUAAAGGCUCACCAAGCCGACGAUCUGUAGCUGGUCUGAGAGGACGACCAGCCACACUGGGACUGAGACACGGCCCAGACUCCUACGGGAGGCAGCAGUGGGGAAUUUUGGACAAUGGACGCAAGUCUGAUCCAGCCAUUCCGCGUGCAGGAUGAAGGCCCUCGGGUUGUAAACUGCUUUGUACGGAACGAAAAGGUUUGUCUUAAUACGAUGAGCUCAUGACGGUACCGUAAGAAUAAGCACCGGCUAACUACGUG